AAAUUGAAGAGUUUGAUCAUGGCUCAGAUUGAACGCUGGCGGCAGGCCUAACACAUGCAAGUCGAACGGUAACAGGAAUCAGCUUGCUGAUUCGCUGACGAGUGGCGGACGGGUGAGUAAUGUCUGGGAAACUGCCUGAUGGAGGGGGAUAACUACUGGAAACGGUAGCUAAUACCGCAUAACGUCGCAAG
This 191-nucleotide ribosomal RNA is filed under the name Escherichia coli. RNAcentral's name for it is "partial 16S ribosomal RNA". It matches the Rfam family "Bacterial small subunit ribosomal RNA", at positions 1 to 185 of the family's 1533-position model. Lineage: Bacteria; Pseudomonadati; Pseudomonadota; Gammaproteobacteria; Enterobacterales; Enterobacteriaceae. The record is from RNAcentral.